GUUGCUUUCAAAGCCGAAAAAUUUGACUUUAAUUUUUUUAAUGCUUUCAAAAUGAACCGCGCUGUAAUGAGGGUGGUGCAGGGUCUCCUCCCUUUAGUUCUGGCAUCCAAAUACCCAGGAAGUGGGUGUUUUAUUAAUACAGGGAAACUGUGGCUUUGGAUUAAGAUCAUUAAGUGCGUUUGGAUGCCGUAUGACAGAUGAGGCAUGUUGCCAAGUUAUUCAGCAAACAGAGCGCUAUUGAGAUUAUAUAGAUGAUAUCGGCUUAAUGGAAUAUCAGCGAUUUAUGAGCUACGAAUGAUUUAUUUAUCAUACCGAUGAAGGCGGCCACUUGAAAGAUCCUGGUUCCUGUUCGCAGUCUGUCGCAUCUGCGGCAUUUGCGACACUUGAUCCCAGAAGCAUGUUGGGAUCCUGAGGUAACUGAUUUGCAUGCUUUCUACUGGACCUGAUUUUCUCUCUCAGACCACUACGAUGAGACUCAACAGAUCUGUGCGAAGUCAAUCACUGUUGCUGGAUGAACGAUGGGAAACCUGGAGCUCUGUCAGCAGCAGUGAUAAAGAGGUCAACAUCUCAGGGCUCACACAUCUUAGAACAUUGCUGUUAUGCAUCGGUACCUAAAGAUCUAAACAAGGAAAUGAUGAUGGUGGGCUUACGUCAUAGAUACAAGGUAAAUAAUGACGACGACGACGAUGAUGAAAGAUGAAGAGAAGAAGAAACUGCCAGAAGAAAUUGAAAUUUUCAAAUUAAUCUGCGGUUAUUCUGUGCUGUUUCUCCUAGAUAAAAUUGCAAUAAUUUCAUUACAUAGAUGACUCAACUUAACGAUCCCAGUAAAGCUCCAAUUAGAUGUUAAAGCUGAAUCCCUAUAAGAUCACUUCAAGUAAUUUGAUCACUAAAAGGCCUAUACAACUUCCUCCACUGACCUUUAUUUUUCUUAUAUGUCUAAAUGAGCACUUGUACAAUUCGGUUUUUUUACAGUUGUCUUUAUUUCUCCAAUAGCAUAUAUUUCUCUGGUAACUGUAAAUAGUCCAUAAAACAACUGAAAAAUGCAAUGUCCCUCCUGACAAAAUGCAGCCUUGGACUGUGAGCGUUUUCUAGACUGUACUUGCUCACACAAUAUUAGUGGUGAUGCACAUUUUAUACAGUAACAUGUCAAUCGCUGAUGAGUGAUGAAAGGCUGUAGAAUUCAGGCAUCCGCAUGGACGCCUGCAGCUGCGAUGAUGUCUUAUCUGCAUCACUGCUAAGUCUCCUUACCAACAAAGGUUAGUGAUGUUUGUGUUCCAGUGAUGAAGAAAUGCCCUCUAUCACUGGAAUAUGGAAUGAGACCUACAGAGGUUUUCCCUCAGCGUGUGUAGGCAGGAUGGCCCCGGAGCUUUGAACUUCUGUGAGUUAUUGUUCUCUGUGUACGUCUGAUAUCGUCUCUAUCUU
Long non-coding RNA from Brienomyrus brachyistius, 1422 nucleotides. RefSeq lists it as uncharacterized. Lineage: Eukaryota; Metazoa; Chordata; Actinopteri; Osteoglossiformes; Mormyridae. The record is from RefSeq and is a predicted model, not a curated record. The transcript is spliced from 3 exons.